RNAcentral lists this ribosomal RNA (126 nucleotides) under Pogona vitticeps (central bearded dragon). The record is from RNAcentral. Lineage: Eukaryota; Metazoa; Chordata; Lepidosauria; Squamata; Agamidae.
ACAUACCACCCUAUCAGCAUGAAAUCGCCUGAUCUUGUCUUAUUUUGGAAGAUAAGCAAAGUUGGAGAGUGAUUAGUGCUUAGAUGGGAGACCAUCAGCAAAUACCACAGAUUUUCAAGGAAGGUU